UACAUCUCAAUGUACCUUGGCUGGUGUAUU
RNAcentral lists this non-coding RNA (30 nucleotides) under Mus musculus (house mouse). Lineage: Eukaryota; Metazoa; Chordata; Mammalia; Rodentia; Muridae. The record is from RNAcentral.